This 443-nucleotide ribosomal RNA is filed under the name uncultured bacterium. Its description in RNAcentral is "partial 16S ribosomal RNA". It matches the Rfam family "Bacterial small subunit ribosomal RNA", at positions 338 to 795 of the family's 1533-position model. The record is from RNAcentral.
CCUACGGGAGGCAGCAGUGGGGAAUAUUGGGCAAUGGAGGCAACUCUGACCCAGCAACGCCGCGUGAGUGAUGAAGGUCUUCGGAUUGUAAAACUCUUUAAGUGGGGACGAAGAAAGUGACUGUACCCACAGAAUAAGCCUCGGCUAACUACGUGCCAGCAGCCGCGGUAAUACGUAGGUGGCAAGCGUUGUCCGGAUUUACUGGGUGUAAAGGGCGUGCAGCCGGAGAGACAAGUCAGAUGUGAAAUCCACGGGCUCAACCCGUGAACUGCAUUUGAAACUGUUUCCCUUGAGUGUCGGAGAGGUAAUCGGAAUUCCUUGUGUAGCGGUGAAAUGCGUAGAUAUAAGGAAGAACACCAGUGGCGAAGGCGGAUUACUGGACGAUAACUGACGGUGAGGCGCGAAAGCGUGGGGAGCAAACAGGAUUAGAUACCCGGGUAGUC